CCUACGGGAGGCAGCAGUGGGGAAUUUUGGACAAUGGGCGAAAGCCUGAUCCAGCAAUGCCGCGUGAGUGAAGAAGGCCUUCGGGUUGUAAAGCUCUUUUGUCAGGGAAGAAACGGUGAGGGCUAAUAUCUCUUGCUAAUGACGGUACCUGAAGAAUAAGCACCGGCUAACUACGUGCCAGCAGCCGCGGUAAUACGUAGGGUGCAAGCGUUAAUCGGAAUUACUGGGCGUAAAGCGUGCGCAGGCGGUUUUGUAAGUCUGUCGUGAAAUCCCCGGGCUCAACCUGGGAAUUGCGAUGGAGACUGCAAGGCUAGAAUCUGGCAGAGGGGGGUAGAAUUCCACGUGUAGCAGUGAAAUGCGUAGAGAUGUGGAGGAACACCGAUGGCGAAGGCAGCCCCCUGGGUCAAGAUUGACGCUCAUGCACGAAAGCGUGGGGAGCAAACAGGAUUAGAUACCCUGGUAGUCCACGCCCUAAACGAUGUCUACUAGUUGUCGGGUUUUAAUUAACUUGGUAACGCAGCUAACGCGUGAAGUAGACCGCCUGGGGAGUACGGUGCAAGAUUAAAACUUAAAAGGAAAUUAGAGG
This 586-nucleotide ribosomal RNA is filed under the name uncultured bacterium. Its description in RNAcentral is "bacterial SSU rRNA". It matches the Rfam family "Bacterial small subunit ribosomal RNA", at positions 338 to 917 of the family's 1533-position model. The record is from RNAcentral.